This 500-nucleotide ribosomal RNA is filed under the name uncultured bacterium. RNAcentral describes it as "partial 16S ribosomal RNA". It matches the Rfam family "Bacterial small subunit ribosomal RNA", at positions 30 to 523 of the family's 1533-position model. The record is from RNAcentral.
AUUGAACGCUGGCGGAAUGCUUUACACAUGCAAGUCGAACGGCAGCACGGACUUCGGUCUGGUGGCGAGUGGCGAACGGGUGAGUAAUACAUCGAAACGUGCCCAAUCGUGGGGGAUAACGUAGCGAAAGCUACGCUAAUACCGCAUACGAUCUAAGGAUGAAAGCGGGGGAUCGCAAGACCUCGCGCGAUUGGAGCGGCCGAUGGCAGAUUAGGUAGUUGGUAGGGUAAAGGCCUACCAAGCCGACGAUCUGUAGCUGGUCUGAGAGGAUGAUCAGCCACACUGGGACUGAGACACGGCCCAGACUCCUACGGGAGGCAGCAGUGGGGACUUUUGGACAAUGGACGCAAGUCUGAUCCAGCCAUUCCGCGUGCAGGAUGAAGGCCCUCGGGUUGUAAACUGCUUUUGUACAGAACGAAAAGGCUCUGGUUAAUACCUAGGGCUCAUGACGGUACUGUAAGAAUAAGCACCGGCUAACUACGUGCCAGCAGCCGCAGUAA